This 253-nucleotide ribosomal RNA is filed under the name uncultured bacterium. RNAcentral's name for it is "partial 16S ribosomal RNA". It matches the Rfam family "Bacterial small subunit ribosomal RNA", at positions 524 to 776 of the family's 1533-position model. The record is from RNAcentral.
UACGGAGGGGGCUAGCGUUAUUCGGAAUUAUUGGGCGUAAAGGGCGCGUAGGCGGCUGUACAAGUCAAAGGUAAAAUCCCUCGGCUCAACUGAGGAACUGCCUUUGAAACUGUACGGCUUGAGGCCGGGAGGGGGUAGCGGAAUUCCCAAUGUAGCGGUGAAAUGCGUAGAUAUUGGGAGGAACACCGGUGGCGAAGACGGCAUCCUGGACCGGUAUUGACGCUGAGGCGCGAAAGCUAGGGGAGCAAACGGG